GUAAUCCAGCCUACAUCAAUCCCGAAAAUGGUAGCUUCACAAUUGACCUUCACAAUAGUUCCAUGGCUGUUGCGGUGUUCAGACGACUCAGUUGUAAAAACUAAGCAAUGAGGAACAAGGGUCCUCGAAUAAUGAACAACUAUAAUUUGUGAAAGGUGAGCACAUGCGAUCGCCACCGUUCCAAGCAUACCCCAGCUAUCUACAUGCCGGAAGCCAGCUAUAGACAUGCCGAAAGUAUUAAUGAUGCGAUAAGCCAGAUCUCCCAAAACUCCAUCACAAUCAUUCUCAUUGAUAACACAGAACGACAUAUCAACGCAGAAUCACCCAAGAAUGGGGUACUAAAUCAACACACGCCAAAAGGCGAGACGGGAAAACACAAUCGGAUCUUUGAUUUCAAAAGAUCUGAUUUAUUCAGAAAACAAUCAAGCCCAAACUCAAAUCCGAAACAGAUCCGAGAAUAAAACUCGAUUGGAAUCUUCGAGGUUUAAGCAACACUCGAUUUUAUUGAAAAACAAAAAACUAGUAAAUAGUGGAGAAGAUGGGAGAGCGAAAAUGAUUUGGUGGAUGAAGAGGAUGAAGGUGAAGAAUGGAGAAGUGACGGCUAGUUUUGGGAGUCGACUCUCAAAACCCUAAUUUGAGAGAGAA
Molecule: long non-coding RNA, 645 nt
Filed under: Daucus carota (carrot)
Lineage: Eukaryota; Viridiplantae; Streptophyta; Magnoliopsida; Apiales; Apiaceae
Description: long non-coding RNA (DCAR_LNC000423)
Source: RNAcentral